Molecule: ribosomal RNA, 279 nt
Filed under: uncultured bacterium
Lineage: Bacteria
Description: partial 16S ribosomal RNA
Rfam family: Bacterial small subunit ribosomal RNA
Source: RNAcentral
UGCCAGCAGCCGCGGUAAUACGGAGGGUGCAAGCGUUAAUCGGAAUUACUGGGCGUAAAGCGCGCGUAGGCGGUUUAGUGAGUCGGAUGUGAAAGCCCUGGGCUUAACCUGGGAACUGCAUACGAUACUGCUAGGCUAGAGUGUGAUAGAGGGAAGUGGAAUUUCAGGUGUAGCGGUGAAAUGCGUAGAUAUCUGAAGGAACAUCAGUGGCGAAGGCGGCUUACUAAGCUACGAUUGACGCUGAGGCACGAAAGCCCGGGGAGCGAACAGGACUAGAUA